AAAGAUGCAGGAUGUCAGCAAGAAUGUCAGAAGAAAUCAAGAAUGAUAUUUUAAAUGGUCAUAGACUGCGAGAUGAUGCAAUCAAUUUAUGCCAGAAAAUAUUGAAGUUGCAGUUCCCUUUAGUGAACGGGUUCGAAGAAACCGAUUCUGGUGAAAAGGGAUAGUUCAGUCAUCACAAAGAAAAUUUUGCACAGAUACUCUUUCAUGCAGAUCACUGGACUGCUGUGUUUUCCUUGGAUGAUAAAGAGAUAUAUUAUUGCGACUCACUUGCUGGAAGAAUUGCUGAAGCGGUAUGGAAGCAGAUAGCCGAUAUCGCAUUCACUUCAGAAAGCACCUUAUCUGUUAACAUUUCUCCUGUCCAUCAACAAAAAAACUCUAUUGAUUGUGGAGUUUUUGCCGUAGCUUUUCUUGUCGAUGCAUUGUUUGGCGUUACUCCUGUAGGUCAAAAAUUCGACAUUGCAAAAAUGAGAAAACAUCUUCUUUCAUGCUUGGUUGAAGAAAAGUUUUCGCCGUUUCCUCGCACAGAAAAAAGGUGCAAGACCAACAGAGCGUUGGUCAGUUACCAGGAUGUUUUUUGUGUUUGUCGUCGACCAUUUUUCACUAGAGACGCCGAAGCUGACAGCAAGAUGUUCAUGGCUGUUUGCAGUAAAUGCGAGGAAUGGUAUCACAGAAAGUGUGUGUCCAUUCCUUUAGAAGUAUUUAAAAACGAUGACGAGGCUGUUAAAUGGAAGUGUGGAAAGUGUUAAUGUUCAUUCAAAACAGUGUAUUUCUCUUUCUUAUCAUUAUGAUUUUACUAAGCGUUUUUUAUAUAUUGUUUUUUUAUUUACAUUUUACAUACUUUUUUUAAAAAAAAAAAGAUAAAAUGAUGAUUUAA
Long non-coding RNA from Hydractinia symbiolongicarpus, 874 nucleotides. RefSeq lists it as uncharacterized. NCBI's taxonomy places the organism in Eukaryota, Metazoa, Cnidaria, Hydrozoa, Anthoathecata, Hydractiniidae. The transcript is spliced from 2 exons. The record is from RefSeq and is a predicted model, not a curated record.